Molecule: ribosomal RNA, 119 nt
Filed under: Lepisosteus oculatus (spotted gar)
Lineage: Eukaryota; Metazoa; Chordata; Actinopteri; Semionotiformes; Lepisosteidae
Source: RNAcentral
UCCAGCAGCCUUAUCACCCUGCAACUCACAACUGGCAACCCACUGAAACUGAACAGGUGUGAGCCUGGUCAGUACCUGGAUGGGAGACCUCCUGGGAAAAACUAAGGGUGCUGUUGGAA